CCUACGGGUGGCUGCAGUGGGGAAUAUUGGACAAUGAGCGAAAGCCUGAUCCAGCCAUGCCGCGUGUGUGAAGAAGGCCUUCGGGUUGUAAAGCACUUUCAGUGGGGAAGAAACCCUUGGGGCUAAUACCCUCGAGGAAGGACAUCACCCACAGAAGAAGCACCGGCUAACUCCGUGCCAGCAGCCGCGGUAAUACGGAGGGUGCGAGCGUUAAUCGGAAUUACUGGGCGUAAAGCGCGCGUAGGCGGUCUGAUAAGCCGGUUGUGAAAGCCCCGGGCUCAACCUGGGAACGGCAUCCGGAACUGGCAGGCUAGAGUGCAGGAGAGGAAGGUAGAAUUCCCGGUGUAGCGGUGAAAUGCGUAGAGAUCGGGAGGAAUACCAGUGGCGAAGGCGGCCUUCUGGACUGACACUGACGCUGAGGUGCGAAAGCGUGGGUAGCAAACAGGAUUAGAUACCCCAGUAGUC
RNAcentral lists this ribosomal RNA (465 nucleotides) under Vreelandella stevensii. Its description in RNAcentral is "partial 16S ribosomal RNA". It matches the Rfam family "Bacterial small subunit ribosomal RNA", at positions 338 to 795 of the family's 1533-position model. The record is from RNAcentral. Lineage: Bacteria; Pseudomonadati; Pseudomonadota; Gammaproteobacteria; Oceanospirillales; Halomonadaceae.